Molecule: non-coding RNA, 27 nt
Filed under: Homo sapiens (human)
Lineage: Eukaryota; Metazoa; Chordata; Mammalia; Primates; Hominidae
Source: RNAcentral
UAGGGCUGCUGUGAAAGAUGACCACAA